GCCAUCGUGGUGCAAUGGCAGCACACUCGACGCGUAUUCGAGAGGCCCAGGUUCGAAUCCCGGCGAGGCCA
Molecule: transfer RNA, 71 nt
Filed under: Stegodyphus mimosarum
Lineage: Eukaryota; Metazoa; Arthropoda; Arachnida; Araneae; Eresidae
Rfam family: tRNA
About the family: Transfer RNA (tRNA) molecules are approximately 80 nucleotides in length. Their secondary structure includes four short double-helical elements and three loops (D, anti-codon, and T loops).
Source: Rfam by way of RNAcentral